GACGAACGCUGGCGGCGUGCCUAAUACAUGCAAGUCGAGCGCAGGAAAUCGACGGAACCCUUCGGGGGGAAGUCGACGGAAUGAGCGGCGGACGGGUGAGUAACACGUAAAGAACCUGCCCUCAGGUCUGGGAUAACCACGAGAAAUCGGGGCUAACACCGGAUGGGUCAUCGGACCGCAUGGUCCGAGGAUGAAAGGCGCUGCGGCGUCGCCUGGGGCCGGCUUUGCGGUGCAUUAGCUAGUUGGUGGGGUAAUGGCCCACCAAGGCGACGAUGCAUAGCCGACCUGAGAGGGUGAUCGGCCACACUGGGACUGAGACACGGCCCAGACUCCUACGGGAGGCAGCAGUAGGGAAUCUUCCACAAUGGACGAAAGUCUGAUGGAGCAACGCCGCGUGAACGAUGAAGGCCUUCGGGUCGUAAAGUUCUGUUGUAAGGGAAGAACAAGUGCCGCAGGCAAUGGCGGCACCUUGACGGUACCUUGCGAGAAAGCCACGGCUAACUACGUGCCAGCCGCCGCCGUAA
This 524-nucleotide ribosomal RNA is filed under the name uncultured bacterium. RNAcentral's name for it is "partial 16S ribosomal RNA". It matches the Rfam family "Bacterial small subunit ribosomal RNA", at positions 28 to 523 of the family's 1533-position model. The record is from RNAcentral.